GCCUGGGUGGCUCAGUCGGUAAAGCGGCUGACUUCGGCUCAGGUCAUGAUCUCACGGUCCGUGAGUUCGAGCCCCACGUCGGGCU
Molecule: transfer RNA, 85 nt
Filed under: Felis catus (domestic cat)
Lineage: Eukaryota; Metazoa; Chordata; Mammalia; Carnivora; Felidae
Rfam family: tRNA
About the family: Transfer RNA (tRNA) molecules are approximately 80 nucleotides in length. Their secondary structure includes four short double-helical elements and three loops (D, anti-codon, and T loops). Further hydrogen bonds mediate the characteristic L-shaped molecular structure. tRNAs have two regions of fundamental functional importance: the anti-codon, which is responsible for specific mRNA codon recognition, and the 3' end, to which the tRNAs corresponding amino acid is attached (by aminoacyl-tRNA synthetases). tRNAs cope with the degeneracy of the genetic code in two manners: having more than one tRNA (with a specific anti-codon) for a particular amino acid; and 'wobble' base-pairing, i.e. permitting non-standard base-pairing at the 3rd anti-codon position.
Source: Rfam by way of RNAcentral